This 72-nucleotide transfer RNA is filed under the name Ovis aries (sheep). It matches the Rfam family "tRNA". Rfam says of the family: Transfer RNA (tRNA) molecules are approximately 80 nucleotides in length. Their secondary structure includes four short double-helical elements and three loops (D, anti-codon, and T loops). Lineage: Eukaryota; Metazoa; Chordata; Mammalia; Artiodactyla; Bovidae. The record is from Rfam by way of RNAcentral.
UCCCUAGUAGCUUAGCUGGUAAAGCGUCCACCUGCAAUGCUGGAGAUCCCGGUUCAAUUCCUGGAUUGGGAA